UACGUAGGCAGCAAGCGUUGUUCGGAAUUACUGGGCGUAAAGGGCGCGUAGGCGGCCAACUAAGUCAGACGUGAAAUCCCUCGGCUCAACCGGGGAACUGCGUCUGAUACUGGAUGGCUUGAAUUCGGGAGAGGGAUGCGGAAUUCCAGGUGUAGCGGUGAAAUGCGUAGAUAUCUGGAGGAACACCGGUGGCGAAGGCGGCAUCCUGGACCGAGAUUGACGCUGAUGCGCGAAAGCCAGGGGAGCAAACGGG
RNAcentral lists this ribosomal RNA (253 nucleotides) under uncultured bacterium. RNAcentral describes it as "partial 16S ribosomal RNA". It matches the Rfam family "Bacterial small subunit ribosomal RNA", at positions 524 to 776 of the family's 1533-position model. The record is from RNAcentral.